GGGCUUGACAUCCCACGAACCUGCCGAAAGGCAGGAGUGCCCGCAAGGGAGCGCGGAGACAGGUGGUGCAUGGCUGUCGUCAGCUCGUGUCGUGAGAUGUUGGGUUAAGUCCCGCAACGAGCGCAACCCUUGUCAUUAAUUGCCAUCAUUUGGUUGGGCACUUUAAUGAGACUGCCGGUGACAAACCGGAGGAAGGUGGGGAUGACGUCAAGUCCUCAUGGCCCUUAUGGGUAGGGCUUCACACGUCAUACAAUGGUCGGUACAGAGGGUUGCCAAGCCGCGAGGUGGAGCCAAUCCCAGAAAGCCGAUCGUAGUCCGGAUCGGAGUCUGCAACUCGACUCCGUGAAGUCGGAAUCGCUAGUAAUCGCGGAUCAGCAUGUCGCGGUGAAUACGUUCCCGGGUCUUGUACACACCGCCCGUCACACCACGAAAGCCAGCUGUACUCGAAGUCGCUGAG
RNAcentral lists this ribosomal RNA (457 nucleotides) under bacterium enrichment culture clone TH6-23. Its description in RNAcentral is "bacterial SSU rRNA". It matches the Rfam family "Bacterial small subunit ribosomal RNA", at positions 977 to 1434 of the family's 1533-position model. The record is from RNAcentral.